This 497-nucleotide ribosomal RNA is filed under the name uncultured bacterium. Its description in RNAcentral is "partial 16S ribosomal RNA". It matches the Rfam family "Bacterial small subunit ribosomal RNA", at positions 28 to 507 of the family's 1533-position model. The record is from RNAcentral.
GAUGAACGCUGGCGGCGUGCCUAACACAUGCAAGUCGAGCGAACAGACGAGGAGUUUGCUCCUCUGACGUUAGCGGCGGACGGGUGAGUAACACGUGGAUAACCUACCUAUAAGACUGGGAUAACUUCGGGAAACCGGAUCUAAUACCGGAUAAUAUAUUCAACCGCAUUGUUCAAUAGUGAAAUACGGUUUUGGUGUCACUUAUAGAUGGAUCCGCGCCGGAUUAGUUAGUUGGUAAGGUAACGGCUUACCAAGGCAACGAUGGGUUGCCGACCUGAGAGGGUGUUGGGCCCCACUGGAGCUGAGACACGGUCCAGAGUCCGAGAGAAGGCAGCAGUAGGGAAUGUUGCGCGAUGGGCGAAAGCCUGACGGAGCAACGCAGCGUGAGUGAUGAGAGUCUUCGGAUCGGAAAACGCUGUUAGUGGGGAAAACCAAAUGUGUAAGGAACGAUGCACGUCUUGACGGUACCUAAUCAGAAAGCCACGGCUAACUACGUG